UGUACCUACGGGAGGCAGCAGUGAGGAAUAUUGGUCAAUGGGCGCAAGCCUGAACCAGCCAAGUCGCGUGAGGGAAGACGGCCCUACGGGUUGUAAACCUCUUUUGCCGGGGAGCAAGCCUGAGCACGUGUGCCCAGGCGGAGAGUACCCGGAGAAAAAGCAUCGGCUAACUCCGUGCCAGCAGCCGCGGUAAUACGGAAGGUCCGGGCGUUAUCCGGAUUUAUUGGGUUUAAAGGGAGCGUAGGCCGGCUUUUAAGUCAGCUGUGAAAGUCCGCGGCUCAACCGUGGAAUUGCAGUUGAAACUG
RNAcentral lists this ribosomal RNA (305 nucleotides) under uncultured bacterium. Its description in RNAcentral is "bacterial SSU rRNA". It matches the Rfam family "Bacterial small subunit ribosomal RNA", at positions 334 to 635 of the family's 1533-position model. The record is from RNAcentral.